Molecule: ribosomal RNA, 288 nt
Filed under: uncultured bacterium
Lineage: Bacteria
Description: partial 16S ribosomal RNA
Rfam family: Bacterial small subunit ribosomal RNA
Source: RNAcentral
GUGGAUUAGAUACCCGGGUAGUCCACGCCGUAAACGAUGAGAACUAGAUGUUAGGGGGCUUAGACCCUUUAGUAUCGCAGCAAACGCGUUAAGUUCUCCGCCUGGGGAGUACGGCCGCAAGGUUAAAACUCAAAGGAAUUGACGGGGGCCCGCACAAGCGGUGGAGCAUGUGGUUUAAUUCGAUGCAACGCGAAGAACCUUACCUACCUUUGAAUCCACGGAAUCUUGCAGAGAUGUGAGAGUGCCUUCGGGAACCGUGAGACAGGUGCUGCAUGGCUGUCGUCAACU